Molecule: ribosomal RNA, 407 nt
Filed under: uncultured bacterium
Lineage: Bacteria
Description: bacterial SSU rRNA
Rfam family: Bacterial small subunit ribosomal RNA
Source: RNAcentral
UAGCCUUGACAUUGAUUGAAUACACCAGAGAUGGAGUAGUGCCUUUCGGGGAACAUGAAAACAGGUGCUGCACGGCUGUCGUCAGCUCGUGUCGUGAGAUGUUGGGUUAAGUCCCGCAACGAGCGCAACCCUCGUCCUUAGUUGCCAGCAGGUUAAGCUGGGCACUCUAUUGAGACUGCCUUCGUAAGGAGGAGGAAGGCGGGGACGACGUCAAGUCAUCAUGGCCCUUACGAGUAGGGCUACACACGUGCUACAAUGGCCGGUACAGAGGGUCGCGAAGCCGCGAGGUGGAGCUAAUCUCACAAAGCCGGUCGUAGUCCGGAUUGGAGUCUGCAACUCGACUCCAUGAAGUCGGAAUCGCUAGUAAUCGUGAAUCAGAAUGUCACGGUGAAUACGUUCCCGGGCCU